AAUAUCAAACAAAGCUCCAAAUUGGACCAAAUAUGUUUACAUAACUUUACGUCAUGACGUACGAUUUUACUAUGCACAAUUAACCAGUGCAUAGCAGAAUAUUGCAGAAAAACUAAUUAUGUAACAAACAACUGUCAACACUAUUUUUACUCUGUGGAUAUUAUGUAAACAAUAUUGUUUUGAGACGAACAAGACUUUCACCGUUUUUAAUACCUUAAAUCAAUGUCCAAAGUUUUUAGGGAAGAGCCAUGAUUAAACGAAAGGCUGUCAUGUUGCUGUGCUUUUGGAUAGAUGUGAUUGAACGGGAAGAAUAGACACACUCCCUCAAAAGCGCAAGUAUCAGAAGCUAAUCCAGCAAUGGCCAGAGAGGGAUUUCUCGGGGCAUUGCUUCAGGAAUAUGGGUGCCAGGGUAAUGUUUCAAAGAGUGGAAUGAUUGACCUCAACACAAGUAAUAAAAUAAAAGAAGCAAAACAGGUCUACAUCUCAAAACCCGAUGACUUCCUGGACUGGCUUUAGUAGAACGAUGAUGCAUAUCAAUUUCAUCCCUGAUCUCUAUGACACCUGUUGAGGAAGUGGAGGGCAAAUCGUAAUCAAUUUGGGUUCCAGCCAAGGACCUCUGUAAACUUUGCUUUUUGGUGAUGCCUUUGUUUCCGAGCUUGAGAAGGACACCCUUGUGUUUAUCAUGGCCUCUCAUAUUGGAAGAUAACAUAAAUGGCUUUUGUGUUGACGGUUGUGCAUAUCUCUUGGUCAGGAAAGUUGUAGGCACCAUUGCCAUUGUAAAUCAUUUGACAGGCCAGAGUGAACAGGGAGAUCUAUGAUUGGUCAGCAAUGUAUCAGAAUCCAUA
Molecule: long non-coding RNA, 845 nt
Organism: Patella vulgata (common limpet)
Lineage: Eukaryota; Metazoa; Mollusca; Gastropoda; Patellidae
Exons: 3
Source: RefSeq, a predicted model, not a curated record